This is a non-coding RNA of Lepisosteus oculatus (spotted gar), 310 nucleotides long. Lineage: Eukaryota; Metazoa; Chordata; Actinopteri; Semionotiformes; Lepisosteidae. The record is from RefSeq and is a predicted model, not a curated record.
GCCUGACAGGGUCGCAGCGCGUCCUUGGAGCUGUCAGACACCGCCCCUUGUUGGGAGCUGUGGAGAUGGCUUCUUUGUGUGGAGAAACAACGGGGUCCGCUACUCUACAAAGUGAAGAGCAAAACCCGACCCCACCCUCUGCACCCUGUGACAGCGGCGGGGGUGUGAGUUCAGCUGGGGUACCAGAUGUUGAAGAACUGCCGGGUGCUAGCAAUGAUACCACGCUACAAAUGACCCGGGUGUGCCAUCGUCUGAAGAAUGAAGAAUUUUGAAUGUAUACAUCUGAAUUCUUACUAAGAGUGCUUUACAC